This 253-nucleotide ribosomal RNA is filed under the name uncultured bacterium. RNAcentral's name for it is "partial 16S ribosomal RNA". It matches the Rfam family "Bacterial small subunit ribosomal RNA", at positions 524 to 776 of the family's 1533-position model. The record is from RNAcentral.
UACAGAGGGGGCGAGCGUUAUUCGGAAUUAUUGGGCGUAAAGGGCGCGUAGGCGGCUUUGCAAGUGACGGGUGAAAUCCCUCGGCUUAACCGAGGAACUGCCUGUCAGACUGUAAGGCUUGAGACCGGGAGAGGUGAGUGGAAUUCCCAGUGUAGCGGUGAAAUGCGUAGAUAUCUGGAGGAACACCGGUGGCGAAGGCGGCGUUCUGGACUGUAACUGACACUGAAAAACGAAAGCCAGGGGAGCAAACGGG